This 1748-nucleotide long non-coding RNA is filed under the name Toxoplasma gondii VEG. Lineage: Eukaryota; Apicomplexa; Conoidasida; Eucoccidiorida; Sarcocystidae. The record is from RNAcentral.
GCCACUCUCACCGUGAAGUGCUGAGUAUUAGAGACACGACGGUGAAAAAAAAAGAAGUCACACCCAGCGCUUUGUUUGUGAAAAGCUUCGAGGCAUGCAGCCACAAUUCUGCGCUGGUAUACUUAGGUAAUGGAAAUCCAGCGAAUUGGCGAAGAUGAUUUCGAGGCAAGAAAACUAUGGCGAUACUUUAACAUCAUCUGUGAACGUGGAAUGAUGACGCAUGGUCAUCGGCGAAACAAAAUAGUCGUUGUUCAAACUAGAGUUUCUCGAGUCUCGGUGGACCGGCGUGGCGACCAGCCACCAGCGGAAUGAGAGUGGUAGCAGAUGCUUGUGUGCGUUUUGGUUUGCAAGAGUGUCUGUGAGCCGCGGAAAGCUUGACUGCCUCUAGUUUUCUUAGGCUUGAGAGAGAUAGCAACUCGGCUGCUAAGGCAGUGAAGUAAGGGAAACGUAAGGACUUCGACCCCCGUCUUUUCGACCCUAUGGCUUUGUGUCCCAGGGGUACCUCCGGAGCCUUCGGGUGAAAGAGUGCCUUACAGUCCUGGUGUUGACGACCCUGUUUCCUCGCGUAUUCGCCUCAAAAUUUCACGAUGUCUGUUAAGCCAAGUGUUUUCAGCCAUCUAGGACUGUACCCAGGUGAAUAGCUCACCGUGCUUUACUAGAUUUCCAUGAUGCGUCGCCGAUGGCUUGGCGUGAAUCGAGACCUGUGGCGGGUCGGAGGUGUGGAGGGCCAGGAUACAAAGAAAGUAUCCCUUUCUUUCUGAGCUGCUGUCAAUACGAAACCAAGGUACUCAGUCAUUGAACCACACUUUGAAAAGCUCCAAAUGCCAAUUUCACGGCGUGGGAUGUGGGCCGGCAUAGUUUGGGCCUUGGCUCUCGCAAGAAAAGCCAUGUAUCUUCGUGAUACUGCUACACUGAAGUUCCAGUGCGGAUGGAGCGUGAUGCGGAAAACAAUAUCCCAAAGUCGCGUAGGCAUUCUUCCCUGGCGUAUCUGUGGCGAUCUGCAAAUUGUGCAGAUGUCUUCUGUGUCUAAAGUGUCCUGAGCAAAUCCCCGAUGAAGUGCAUGGGGGGCUACUCGUGAUCUGGUUUAUGGGGGACAGGUGUACAUUGCGACCUUUGACUGUCAGGUUACUGUAAUGAGUUGCCGGAAAUGAAGUUUUCAUCUGGCGAGAAAUAGGGUUUACAAUCAGGCACAGUGCUUUUGCGAGAAUGUCAAUGCAAUCUGUGACUUCAACGCGCAACGCGUCGACAGCACCGACUGCCCUCGAAUGCAUGAUGGGAGCGUUCCUCAGUUGUGACAAGUGGCUGUUUAUCGAUCCAAUGCUUGGUCCCGUCGUCGAUCCAGUACCAUGCAUCGGGCGGGCAGGUGCCACUCAGAGAAGCAGUGGGCAAGUACAGAUGUCCAGACAUCGUUGGUAAGUUAAACGUAUAACCCACAUCUCAGCAUGCACGUAGCUGCGUUGCAACCUGUUGAAUUUUCGGCACUGGAACAGUGUUCGUCUCUUCCACCUGGUGUGGCUACUCAGCAAAAACUGGUCGUCCCGCUGGCGCAGAAGGCCAUGCGUGGCUAUUUGAUGCUGCUUGCACAGGGAAUUGUUUGUCGCUGGCUGGAACGUUUUGUGUAAGUGGUCACGGGCAGCGGUCUCCUGCGUGCUUGUAGUACGACUCGCGCAUCUGGAUGUACCGGGCAGCAUUGUCAACGAUGUAGCGCAUUUCCACAUAACAGUGACGAGCAGCUGUGCGAUUCAGUA